CCUACGGGUGGCAGCAGUGAGGAAUAUUGGUCAAUGGGCGCGAGCCUAAACCAGCCAAGUAGCGUGAAGGAUGACUGCCCUACGGGUUGUAAACUUCUUUUAUAAAGGAAUAAAAUGAGGCACGUGUGCCUUUUUGUAUGUACUUUAUGAAUAAGGAUCGGCUAAAUCCGUGCCAGCAGCCGCGGUAAUACGGAGGGUCCGAGCGUUAUCCGGAUUUAUUGGGUUUAAAGGGAGCGUAGGUGGGUUGUUAAGUCAGCUGUGAAAGUUUGCGGCUCAACCGUAACAUUGCAGUGGAUACUGGCAGGCUUGAGUACAGUUGAGGUAGGCGGAAUUCGUGGUGUAGCGGUGAAAUGCUUAGAUAUCACGAAGAACUCCGAUUGCGAAGGCAGCUUACUAAACUGCCACUGACAUUGAUGCUCGAAAGUGUGGGUAUCAAACAGGAUUAGAUACCCGAGUAGUC
This 460-nucleotide ribosomal RNA is filed under the name uncultured bacterium. RNAcentral describes it as "partial 16S ribosomal RNA". It matches the Rfam family "Bacterial small subunit ribosomal RNA", at positions 338 to 795 of the family's 1533-position model. The record is from RNAcentral.